AGUGAACGUUGGCGGCGUGGAUUAGGCAUGCAAGUCGUGCGGAAAGGCCCCGCAAGGGGUACUCGAGCGGCGUAAGGGAGAGUAAUACGUGGGUUACCUACCCCCCGGCCCGGGAUAGCCACGGGAAACUGUGGGUAAUACCGGAUAAUGUCUCCGGACCAAAGGUGUGAUUCCGUCGGAGGAGGGGCCCGCGUCCUAUUAGCUUGUUGGUGAGGUAACGGCUCACCAAGGCAAAGAUGGGUACGAGGUGUGAGAGCAUGACCUCGCUCACUGGGACUGAGACACUGCCCAGACACCUACGGGUGGCAG
RNAcentral lists this ribosomal RNA (309 nucleotides) under uncultured Planctomycetota bacterium. RNAcentral's name for it is "bacterial SSU rRNA". It matches the Rfam family "Bacterial small subunit ribosomal RNA", at positions 29 to 351 of the family's 1533-position model. Lineage: Bacteria; Pseudomonadati; Planctomycetota. The record is from RNAcentral.